This is a long non-coding RNA of Lycium ferocissimum, 1010 nucleotides long. RefSeq lists it as uncharacterized. The record is from RefSeq and is a predicted model, not a curated record. The transcript is spliced from 3 exons. Lineage: Eukaryota; Viridiplantae; Streptophyta; Magnoliopsida; Solanales; Solanaceae.
AUAGCAAAUUUGAAGGUUGGAUUUUCACUUUUGAAGUCAAACUUAAUUACUUCUAUUGCUCUUUAUGCAACUUCAAUGCACAAGUUGUUAAGGUUCACCUGACAUGAAUUUGGAUCAAGGGAUAUUUAGUUAUUGAUUCGUUAGAGGAAAAAACAUAAAAAGUUUAAAAAGCAAAGUUUUUAGAUAAAAGGAUGUUAUAUCUAGGCAUAAAUAAUGAAAAUAGCAAUACUCCUAUUAGUUUUCAAUGAGGCUUACUGAUAAAUGUAUGUAGCUAUACCUUGCGACGAGUUCGUGUUCGAGGAGAUCCUUUGGUUCGUCUCCCGAUCCGGAUCGGGUAACAGGAACCGUUUGUUUAACAUUGUGGAUUUUCAGAAAUCCUUCCAUGCAAUUUACAGGAAUAAUGUAGAGAGUUCUGGUGAAUCUCGGCCGUUACUUGGUGGAUCUACUGAAAAAUUAGUGUGUUAAAAGAUUAGAAAAUUUGUCGUCUUGCAAAAGGAGAUGGCGAAAAGAAGGACUUCGAGGACUUAGUCAUCCUGAGUUGUUUUGGUGACGGACGCCAGAUUGUAAAGAGUGUCUGUUAUUCUUUUCUGAAUUUCACAUUAUAUUCUCUUAAAUGUUCAGAAAAAGUUUGUAAUAGCAUGCCGUUAUUUUAGCUGAGGAUAUUCCAAAAUACAUGGAGAGAAUACCUUCAGUGAGCAAGAUGUUUCCAACUAUUUCAAUCAAUUUGGACCAGUCCAAGAUGCUAGGAUUCCUUGUCAACACAAGAGAAUGUUUGGAUUUGUAACCUUUUUUUUUUUUUCUUUUCCCAGAGACAGUUAAGCAGAUCUUGGCAAAGGGGAAUCCUUAUUUAGUUUGUGGAGCACGUGUUUUGGUGAAACCUUACAAGGAAAAGCCUAAGGAUCGAGAUAGUGGCCAAGGAUUGAAUCUUCCAGAUAGCCCUUUUGCAUCUCCAAUAAGGAAUGGCAUUUCAACUGUCACUUAGGUUUAAAAAUACACAAGGAUUACUGAAG